CAGAAAAUUGUGAAAAUGAUGGUUAGUAGUUUUUUAUUUAUACCUAGUUAUCAUAAAUGAUUUAAGAUAAAUAUUAUUGAUAAAGAACAGCAAAAAUUCAAUGAAAUUUUUCGCUUUUAAAAUGCAUUACUGGCACGGGGCUGAACACUUUUUUUAGGCACAAUCAUAACUUUGUUUACCCCCGAGAGAUCCGAAAGGAAUUGUUUAUUCAAUUGAAAAGGCAAGAAAAAA
This 231-nucleotide long non-coding RNA is filed under the name Mytilus galloprovincialis (Mediterranean mussel). The record is from RNAcentral. Lineage: Eukaryota; Metazoa; Mollusca; Bivalvia; Mytilida; Mytilidae.